RNAcentral lists this ribosomal RNA (490 nucleotides) under uncultured bacterium. RNAcentral's name for it is "partial 16S ribosomal RNA". It matches the Rfam family "Bacterial small subunit ribosomal RNA", at positions 30 to 507 of the family's 1533-position model. The record is from RNAcentral.
AUUGAACGCUGGCGGCAGGCCUAACACAUGCAAGUCGAACGGUAACAGGAAGCAGCUUGCUGCUUCGCUGACGAGUGGCGGACGGGUGAGUAAUGUCUGGGAAGCUGCCUGAUGGAGGGGGAUAACUACUGGAAACGGUAGCUAAUACCGCAUAAUGUCGCAAGACCAAAGAGGGGGACCUUCGGGCCUCUUGCCAUCGGAUGUGCCCAGAUGGGAUUAGCUUGUUGGUGGGGUAACGGCUCACCAAGGCGACGAUCCCUAGCUGGUCUGAGAGGAUGACCAGCCACCCUGGAAGUGAGACACGGUCCAGACUCCUACGGGAGGCAGCAGUGGGGAAUAUUGCACAAUGGGCGCAAGCCUGAUGCAGCCAUGCCGAGUGUAUGAAGAAGGCCUUCGGGUUGUAAAGUACUUUCAGCGGGGAGGAAGGGAGUAAAGUUAAUACCUUUGCUCAUUGACGUUACCCGCAGAAGAAGCACCGGCUAACUCCGUG